Molecule: ribosomal RNA, 380 nt
Filed under: uncultured eukaryote
Lineage: Eukaryota
Description: partial 18S ribosomal RNA
Rfam family: Eukaryotic small subunit ribosomal RNA
Source: RNAcentral
CAAUAGCGUAUAUUAAAGUUGCUGCAGUUAAAAAGCUCGUAGUUGCAUUUCCGAGGCAAGGGAUUAGUCCGACCUUUGGUGGGUAUUUAAUCCUCUUGCCUCGUCCUUGAGUGGUGCUUCUUGGUAUUAAGUUAUCGAGGAGAUAGCCGCUCAUCGUUUACUGUGAGAAAAUUAGAGUGUUCAAAGCAGGCUUAUGCCGUUGAAUAUAUUAGCAUGGAAUAAUAAGAUAGGACCUCGGUACUAUUUUGUUGGUUUGAGAACCAAGGUAAUGAUGAAUAGGGACAGUUGGGGGUAUUCGUAUUCAGUUGUCAGAGGUGAAAUUCUUAGAUUUACGGAAGACGAACUACUGCGAAAGCAUUUACCAAGGAUGUUUUCAUUGA